This 222-nucleotide ribosomal RNA is filed under the name uncultured bacterium. Its description in RNAcentral is "partial 16S ribosomal RNA". It matches the Rfam family "Bacterial small subunit ribosomal RNA", at positions 128 to 334 of the family's 1533-position model. The record is from RNAcentral.
GCCUCAAAGAGGGGGACAACAGUUGGAAACGACUGCUAAUACCGCAUACGAUCUAAUCUCGGCAUCGAGGAUAGAUGAAAGGUGGCCUCUAUUUAUAAGCUAUCACUGAAGGAGGGGAUUGCGUCUGAUUAGCUAGUUGGAGGGGUAACGGCCCACCAAGGCGAUGAUCAGUAGCCGGUCUGAGAGGAUGAACGGCCACAUUGGGACUGAGACACGGCCCAG